This 427-nucleotide ribosomal RNA is filed under the name uncultured bacterium. Its description in RNAcentral is "partial 16S ribosomal RNA". It matches the Rfam family "Bacterial small subunit ribosomal RNA", at positions 355 to 774 of the family's 1533-position model. The record is from RNAcentral.
UGGGGAAUUUUGGACAAUGGGCGAAAGCCUGAUCCAGCAAUGCCGCGUGAGUGAAGAAGGCCUUCGGGUUGUAAAGCUCUUUUGUCAGGGAAGAAACGGUGAGGGCUAAUAUCCCUUGCUAAUGACGGUACCUGAAGAAUAAGCACCGGCUAACUACGUGCCAGCAGCCGCGGUAAUACGUAGGGUGCAAGCGUUAAUCGGAAUUACUGGGCGUAAAGCGUGCGCAGGCGGUUUUGUAAGUCUGAUGUGAAAGCCCCGGGCUCAACCUGGGAAUUGCAUUGGAGACUGCAAGGCUAGAAUCUGGCAGAGGGGGGUAGAAUUCCACGUGUAGCAGUGAAAUGCGUAGAUAUGUGGAGGAACACCGAUGGCGAAGGCAGCCCCCUGGGUCAAGAUUGACGCUCAUGCACGAAAGCGUGGGGAGCAAACA